GAUGAAGAACGCAGCGAAAUGCGAUAAGUAAUGUGAAUUGCAGAAUUCAGUGAAUCAUCGAAUCUUUGAACGCACAUUGCGCCCUCUAGUAUUCUGGAGGGCAUGCCUGUUCGAGCGUCAUUUCAACCCCUCUAUGCCCUUGGGUGUAGGUGUUGAGGGCCUGCGGAAACGCAGCCCUCCAAAGACAUUGGCGGACCUCCUAUGGUAUCCGAGCGCAGUAACAUAACUCUCGCUAGGGAAAACCGGGACGGACUCCUGCCGUAAAACCCCUAAUUUUCUAAGGUUGACCUCGGAUCAGGUAGGAAUACCCGCUGAACUUAAGCAUAUCAAUAAGCGGAGGGA
Molecule: unclassified non-coding RNA, 342 nt
Filed under: soil metagenome
Description: partial contains 5.8S ribosomal RNA, internal transcribed spacer 2, and large subunit ribosomal RNA
Rfam family: 5.8S ribosomal RNA (bases 1-120)
Source: RNAcentral